This 76-nucleotide transfer RNA is filed under the name Plectolyngbya sp. WJT66-NPBG17. Its description in RNAcentral is "tRNA-Asn". It matches the Rfam family "tRNA". From Rfam's summary of the family: Transfer RNA (tRNA) molecules are approximately 80 nucleotides in length. Their secondary structure includes four short double-helical elements and three loops (D, anti-codon, and T loops). RNAcentral also lists the same sequence under 1 other name. Lineage: Bacteria; Bacillati; Cyanobacteriota; Cyanophyceae; Leptolyngbyales; Leptolyngbyaceae. The record is from RNAcentral.
UGCCUCCUAGCUCAAUUGGCAGAGCGUCCGAUUGUUAAUCGGGUCGUUGUAGGUUCAAAUCCUACUGAGGCAGCCA